GGUUCAAAACUAAAUUAUAUAAAACUAAAUUCCAGGAUCUUAUUAGUUUUUCCCUGAAAAUCUGGAUUCACGUAUUGGUUGUUUUCAAUUGUAUUAAUUUCCUUAACUGUUGCUGUUUUUACUAAGUUGAUUUUUUAUUCAAAGAAACCUCUCACUGAUAUAUUUCUUCAUAUAAUUCUUUCUGACUCGAGGAGUGUAGGCAUCGUGAGUCAGUGGAGCCACCAGGCUGUGGCUUAACACGUCACCGCUUUUUAAGUAGUCUCGUGUUUAGGUACGAGGUCCUCGUUUCAUGUCUGACUUAAAUAAUUUAAUGAUCACUCUGUUUGACAUGGAUGAGUCUAAUGAGCUGUAAUAAUGUUCUAUGUCACUGGGUAGUACAUCCUGUCAUGUACCUUCCACCAACUUUGAUGGCCCCCCUCCCUUUGCCUCUGAAAGGACAUUUAGGGUAGGUCAAACUAUUUUGUAUAUUUGGGCUUGAAAGGGUUCUGAGAAUGACAUAUUCCCCAGAGAGUUUCUAAACUGCAGUAAAAUGAUUUGCUGUCCUUGGUUCUCUCAGCUACACAUGCUGCCUUUCAUAUCAGACUUUUGAUUUUGAGCAUUUCAAAAAUGUCUUGAUGGUCAACUUAAAGGUUUUCCUUUUGCUACCUACCGGACU
This 655-nucleotide long non-coding RNA is filed under the name Bos taurus (domestic cattle). RNAcentral describes it as "long non-coding RNA NONBTAT016981". The record is from RNAcentral. Lineage: Eukaryota; Metazoa; Chordata; Mammalia; Artiodactyla; Bovidae.